Molecule: ribosomal RNA, 537 nt
Filed under: uncultured Clostridium sp.
Lineage: Bacteria; Bacillati; Bacillota; Clostridia; Eubacteriales; Clostridiaceae
Description: bacterial SSU rRNA
Rfam family: Bacterial small subunit ribosomal RNA
Source: RNAcentral
GCGGGUGAGUAACACGUGGGCAACCUGCCUCAUAGAGGGGAAUAGCCUUCCGAAAGGGAGAUUAAUACCGCAUAAGAUUGUAGUACCGCAUGGUACAGCAAUUAAAGGAGCAAUCCGCUAUGAGAUGGGCCCGCGGCGCAUUAGCUAGUUGGUGAGGUAACGGCUCACCAAGGCGACGAUGCGUAGCCGACCUGAGAGGGUGAUCGGCCACAUUGGGACUGAGACACGGCCCAGACUCCUACGGGAGGCAGCAGUGGGGAAUAUUGCACAAUGGGGGAAACCCUGAUGCAGCAACGCCGCGUGAGUGAUGACGGCCUUCGGGUUGUAAAGCUCUGUCUUCAGGGACGAUAAUGACGGUACCUGAGGAGGAAGCCACGGCUAACUACGUGCCAGCAGCCGCGGUAAUACGUAGGUGGCGAGCGUUGUCCGGAUUUACUGGGCGUAAAGGGAGCGUAGGUGGAUUUUUAAGUGAGAUGUGAAAUACUCGGGCUUAACCUGAGUGCUGCAUUUCAAACUGGAAGUCUAGAGUGCAGGAGA